Non-coding RNA from Acanthosepion pharaonis, 110 nucleotides. Lineage: Eukaryota; Metazoa; Mollusca; Cephalopoda; Sepiida; Sepiidae. The record is from the annotation of a GenBank genome assembly.
UUACGGCCACAUCACGUUGAAACACCGGUUGUCGUACGAUCACCGAAGUUAAGCAACGUUGAGCCUGGUCAUUACUGAAAUGGGUGACCCCGUAGGAAUACUGUGCUGUA